Molecule: long non-coding RNA, 291 nt
Filed under: Manihot esculenta (cassava)
Lineage: Eukaryota; Viridiplantae; Streptophyta; Magnoliopsida; Malpighiales; Euphorbiaceae
Description: long non-coding RNA (MESC_LNC008994)
Source: RNAcentral
UUAAUUCUUCUUUACAAACUGUUUUGUUUGGACCUAUCGGAUAGAAACUAAAUAUAUCUGAAAAUUAAUUAGCUAGGAGGAGGUUGUGUUAAUUUUCAUAAAAUUCUUCAUUGUUCUCCAGGUUAGAGGGUUACCAAGGAAGGACCGACUUGUUUGGACGAUGUGAGGGUUGUAGGACUAGGAUAUUUAGAUCUCAACAUUUGUUAAAAUUUCUUCAGUGGUUGAUUGUCAUGAUAAAUCUAUCAAUCUGAACAAGUGUGGUAGGGUUUCUCAAGGAAAUAUUGAGAGAAG